UGAUAGGUGAGUUUGGUGAUGGCUCUGAUUGAACGCUGUCCAAAUGCUUGACACAUGCUAAUCGUACGUUUAAUUUAUGCUCUUCGGAUCUUAGUAUCAGGGCGCCAUGAGUGUUGUAGUGGUGUAAUAUCUUAUAUAAGAUAUUGGAGGUUUAUUAAAAGUGGUGUACAGGUGAGUGAAAGAUAAUCGGCCGACCUUGAAGAGAGGGGAUAAAAAAUCCCUCAUAAAUAAAAAAUAGUCGGCUAGCUAUUUGUUUGAGCGCACCUCGUAAGAUACUUCAUAUCCCCCAGAUCCCCCUCCGGGGGAUGAGGGGGAUGAGAGGUGCACUCAAACAGGAUAAAGGGUGUAAUAGCCGCUUUAAGAGGAAAAGAUAUCUGCGGGAUAGGUAGUAGUUAAGGUAAUGGCUCAACUAGCCAAUAAUUCUCGGAGUCGAAGCUGAAAUGGUUGAUCGACCACAUUGGGGAUGAAAAAAUCCCAAGGCGUAUUAGUACAGCAGUGAGGAAUUUUGGUCAAUGGCCUAGCGGCUGAACUGGCAACUUGGACGAACGGACUAUAAUUCAUAUGAACUAAUAUUCCCGAGUUUGCAUAAUUUUGUAGAUAGUACGGAAUAGUAGAGGAUCCUUUUUAGGAAUAAAGUUCUUAGUAUAUAUUGGAUAAUGACAGAUAUAUAUCUUAUGCCCUGACCAAUUACGUGCCAGCAGUCGCGGUAAUACGUAUGGGACUAGUGUUAUUCAUCUUAAUUAGGUUUAAAGGGUACCUAGACGGCUAAUGUCCACCUCUAAAAGGUAACUAGUUAGCUAGAGUUUUAUAUGAAGGGGCCGAACUUGUGGAGGAGAGUUUAAAUUCUUUGAUACCUAGAGGACGGAUAAAGGCGAAGGCAGCCUCUUAUGUAAAAACUGACGUUGAAGGACGAAGGCAUUGCGGCACGAAAAGGAUUAGGGACCCUAGUAGUCUUUGCAGAAAAUGAUGAAUGCCAUAGGUUAGGUUAAUCCUUAGUCUAUAAACGAAAGUGUAAGCAUUUCACCUCAAGAGUAAUGUGGCAACGCAGGAACUGAAAUCACUAGACCGUUUCUGACACCAGUAGUGAAGUAUGUUGUUUAAUUCGAUGAUCCACGAAAAAUCUUACCACAAUUUGAAUAGAAUAAAGUAAUCAAAAUAUAAGGGUGAACAAAUAUCUCUUCUUUUUUAGUAGUAAAGAAAAUAGAUACCUACUAUAAAGUUAAUAUUUAUUCUCAAUUAGUUUUAGGAAGUUUAUUCAUACAAGUGUUGCACGGCUGUUUCCAGUUAAUGUUGUGAAACUGUGGCAAAAGCCAUGGAAUUAACGUAAACCUGAGCUUUAUUUGUAAAAAUAUUUUGAUAGAGCUACAUCAUCUGCUAUAUUGGAUUUGAUAACAGGGACUAAGACAAGUCAUCAUGGCCUUAAUAUUGUGGGCUGAUAGAUAGACGUGCCACAUAUACCAUAACAAAGAGAUGCGAAACAGUGAUGUCGAGCUAACCUCAAAAAAAUGGAUAAAAAAUAUAUGGAUUGUAGCCUGAAACUCGGCUGCUUGAAUAAGAAAUUGCUAGUAAUCGUGAAUCACCAUGUCACGGUGAAUAUAACCUUGGAUUGGUACUAACCACUCGUCACAUGCUGAAAGUUGUAUGCGCAAUAAGUUUGCUUUCUUAUUUUAAGUCCAUGUAAGAACGGAUUACAUUCUUUUAAUAGGGUUCUUCGUAUGCGUGACGGCAAUUGGUGUUAAGUCGAAAUACGGUUCGUGUAGUGGAAGUUGCACGGGGCUAAUUAACUUUA
RNAcentral lists this ribosomal RNA (1789 nucleotides) under Juglanconis sp. RNAcentral's name for it is "SSU rRNA". It matches the Rfam family "Bacterial small subunit ribosomal RNA". The record is from RNAcentral. Lineage: Eukaryota; Fungi; Ascomycota; Sordariomycetes; Diaporthales; Juglanconidaceae.